UACGGGGGGGGCAAGCGUUGUCCGGAAUUAUUGGGCGUAAAGAGCGUGUAGGCGGUCCGGUAAGUCAGCUGUGAAAGUCAAGGGCUCAACCCUUGAAUGCCGGUUGAUACUGUCGGGCUAGAGUCCGGAAGAGGCGAGUGGAAUUCCCGGUGUAGCGGUGAAAUGCGCAGAUAUCGGGAGGAACACCAAUGGCGAAGGCAGCUCGCUGGGACGGUACUGACGCCGAGACGCGAAAGCGUGGGGAGCAAACAGG
Molecule: ribosomal RNA, 253 nt
Filed under: uncultured bacterium
Lineage: Bacteria
Description: partial 16S ribosomal RNA
Rfam family: Bacterial small subunit ribosomal RNA
Source: RNAcentral